AUUGUACUCCCUCUGUUCCAAAUUACUCGUCGCAGAAAUGGAUGUAUCUAGAACUAAAAUACAUCUAGAUACAUCCAUACCCGCGACAAGUAAUUCGGAACGGAGGGAGUAUCUC
Molecule: non-coding RNA, 115 nt
Organism: Triticum urartu
Lineage: Eukaryota; Viridiplantae; Streptophyta; Magnoliopsida; Poales; Poaceae
Source: Rfam